This 253-nucleotide ribosomal RNA is filed under the name uncultured bacterium. Its description in RNAcentral is "partial 16S ribosomal RNA". It matches the Rfam family "Bacterial small subunit ribosomal RNA", at positions 524 to 776 of the family's 1533-position model. The record is from RNAcentral.
UACGAAGGGGGCUAGCGUUAAUCGGAAUUACUGGGCGUAAAGCGUGCGCAGGCGGCUUGCCAAGUCAGAUGUGAAAGCCCCGGGCUUAACCUGGGAAUGGCGUUUGAAACUGGCAGGCUAGAGUUUGGCAGAGGGGGGUGGAAUUCCACGUGUAGCAGUGAAAUGCGUAGAGAUGUGGAGGAACACCGAUGGCGAAGGCAGCCCCCUGGGCCAAAACUGACGCUCAGGCACGAAAGCGUGGGGAGCAAACAGG